RNAcentral lists this ribosomal RNA (519 nucleotides) under Pyrenophora tritici-repentis. RNAcentral describes it as "eukaryotic LSU rRNA". The stretch from base 184 to 337 matches the Rfam family "5.8S ribosomal RNA". The record is from RNAcentral. Lineage: Eukaryota; Fungi; Ascomycota; Dothideomycetes; Pleosporales; Pleosporaceae.
CAUUACACAAAUAUGAAGCCGGACUGGGAUAGGGCCUCGCUGCCUUGCCCGUCUGGCGCCAUAUUCACCCAUGUCUUUUUGCGUACUACUUGUUUCCUUGGCGGGUCCGCCCGCCAAUUGGACCUUAUUCAAACCUUUUUUUCAGUUGCAAUCAGCGUCAGCAAAACAAAUGUAAUCAAUUACAACUUUCAACAACGGAUCUCUUGGUUCUGGCAUCGAUGAAGAACGCAGCGAAAUGCGAUAAGUAGUGUGAAUUGCAGAAUUCAGUGAAUCAUCGAAUCUUUGAACGCACAUUGCGCCCUUUGGUAUUCCAAAGGGCAUGCCUGUUCGAGCGUCAUUUGUACCCUCAAGCUUUGCUUGGUGUUGGGCGUCUUGUCUCUCUCCCGAGACUCGCCUUAAAAUCAUUGGCAGCCGGCCUACUGGUUUCGGAGCGCAGCACAUUAUUUGCGCUCUUGUCCAGCCGCGGUCGCGCGUCCAUGAAGCUUCUUUCAACCUUUUGACCUCGGAUCAGUAGGAUAC